Molecule: ribosomal RNA, 497 nt
Filed under: uncultured bacterium
Lineage: Bacteria
Description: partial 16S ribosomal RNA
Rfam family: Bacterial small subunit ribosomal RNA
Source: RNAcentral
GAUGAACGCUGGCGGCGUGCCUAAUACAUGCAAGUCGAGCGAACGGACGAGAAGCUUGCUUUUCUGAUGUUAGCGGCGGACGGGUGAGUAACACGUGGAUAACCUACCUAUAAGACUGGGAUAACUUCGGGAAACCGGAGCUAAUACCGGAUAAUAUUUUGAACCGCAUGGUUCAAAAGUGAAAGACGGUCUUGCUGUCACUUAUAGAUGGAUCCGCGCUGCAUUAGCUAGUUGGUAAGGUAACGGCUUACCAAGGCAACGAUGCAUAGCCGACCUGAGAGGGUGAUAGGCCACACUGGAACUGGGACACGGUCCAGACUCCUACGGGAGGCAGCAGUAGGGAAUCUUCCGCAAUGGGCGAAAGCAUGACGGAGCAACGCCGCGUGAGUGAUGAAGGUCUUCGGAUCGUAAAACUCUGUUAUGAGGGAAGAACAUAUGUGUAAGUAACUGUGGACAGCGUGACGGUACCUAAUCAGAAAGCCACGGCUAACUACGUG